RNAcentral lists this ribosomal RNA (373 nucleotides) under uncultured bacterium. Its description in RNAcentral is "bacterial SSU rRNA". It matches the Rfam family "Bacterial small subunit ribosomal RNA", at positions 525 to 896 of the family's 1533-position model. The record is from RNAcentral.
ACGGAGGAUGCAAGCGUUAUCCGGAAUGAUUGGGCGUAAAGCGUCCGUAGGUGGUUUUGUAAGUCUGUGGUUAAAGCGUGGAGCUUAACUCCAUAAGGGCCAUGGAAACUACAUAACUUGAGUGAAGUAGGGGUAGAGGGAAUUCCCAGUGUAGCGGUGAAAUGCGUAGAGAUUGGGAAGAACACCGGUGGCGAAAGCGCUCUACUGGACUUAUACUGACACUGAGGGACGAAAGCUAGGGGAGCGAAAGGGAUUAGAUACCCCUGUAGUCCUAGCCGUAAACGAUGGAUACUAGGUGUUGCCCGUAUCGACCCGGGCAGUGCCGUAGCUAACGCGUUAAGUAUCCCGCCUGGGGAGUACGCACGCAAGUGUG